GGGCCCGCACAAGCGGUGGAGCAUGUGGUUUAAUUCGAUGAUACGCGAGGAACCUUACCAGGGCUUAAAUGCAGAACGACCGGGAUAGAAAUAUCCCUUUCUUCGGACGGUCUGCAAGGUGCUGCAUGGUUGUCGUCAGCUCGUGCUGUGAAGUGUCGGGUUAAGUCCCAUAACGAGCGCAACCCCUAUUUCUAGUUGCCAGCGGUUCGGCCGGGGACUCUAGAGAAACUGCCAGCGUAAGCUGUGAGGAAGGUGGGGAUGACGUCAAAUCAUCACGGCCCUUACGUCCUGGGCCACACACGUGCUACAAUGGUGGGGACAACGAGUCGCAAACCCGCGAGGGUAAGCUAAUCUUCAAACCCCAUCUCAGUUCGGAUCGGAGUCUGCAACUCGACUCCGUGAAGUUGGAAUCGCUAG
Molecule: ribosomal RNA, 417 nt
Filed under: uncultured bacterium
Lineage: Bacteria
Description: bacterial SSU rRNA
Rfam family: Bacterial small subunit ribosomal RNA
Source: RNAcentral